RNAcentral lists this ribosomal RNA (253 nucleotides) under uncultured bacterium. RNAcentral describes it as "partial 16S ribosomal RNA". It matches the Rfam family "Bacterial small subunit ribosomal RNA", at positions 524 to 776 of the family's 1533-position model. The record is from RNAcentral.
UACGAAGGGGGCUAGCGUUGCUCGGAUUCAUUGGGCGUAAAGGGUGCGUAGGCGGCGCGGUAAGUCGGGUGUGAAAUCUCGGAGCUUAACUCCGAAACUGCAUUCGAUACUACCGUGCUUGAGUACUGGAGAGGAGAUUGGAAUUUACGGUGUAGCAGUGAAAUGCGUAGAUAUCGUAAGGAAGACCAGUGGCGAAGGCGAAUCUCUGGACAGUUACUGACACUGAGGCACGAAGGCCAGGGGAGCAAACGGG